This 588-nucleotide ribosomal RNA is filed under the name Rhodotorula mucilaginosa. RNAcentral describes it as "eukaryotic LSU rRNA". It matches the Rfam family "Eukaryotic large subunit ribosomal RNA", at positions 67 to 668 of the family's 3401-position model. Lineage: Eukaryota; Fungi; Basidiomycota; Microbotryomycetes; Sporidiobolales; Sporidiobolaceae. The record is from RNAcentral.
UACAGGUAUUCCCCUAGUAGCGGGCGAGCGAAGCGGGAAGAGCUCAAAUUUAUAAUCUGGCACCUUCGGUGUCCGAGUUGUAAUCUCUAGAAAUGUUUUCCGCGUUGGACCGCACACAAGUCUGUUGGAAUACAGCGGCAUAGUGGUGAGACCCCCGUAUAUGGUGCGGACGCCCAGCGCUUUGUGAUACAUUUUCGAAGAGUCGAGUUGUUUGGGAAUGCAGCUCAAAUUGGGUGGUAAAUUCCAUCUAAAGCUAAAUAUUGGCGAGAGACCGAUAGCGAACAAGUACCGUGAGGGAAAGAUGAAAAGCACUUUGGAAAGAGAGUUAACAGUACGUGAAAUUGUUGGAAGGGAAACGCUUGAAGUCAGACUUGCUUGCCGAGCAAUCGGUUUGCAGGCCAGCAUCAGUUUUCCGGGAUGGAUAAUGGUAGAGAGAAGGUAGCAGUUUCGGCUGUGUUAUAGCUCUCUGCUGGAUACAUCUUGGGGGACUGAGGAACGCAGUGUGCCUUUUGGCGGGGGUUUCGACCUCUUCACACUUAGGAUGCUGGUGGAAUGGCUUUAAACGACCCGUCUGGAAACCACGGACCA